RNAcentral lists this ribosomal RNA (497 nucleotides) under uncultured bacterium. RNAcentral's name for it is "partial 16S ribosomal RNA". It matches the Rfam family "Bacterial small subunit ribosomal RNA", at positions 28 to 507 of the family's 1533-position model. The record is from RNAcentral.
GAUGAACGCUGGCGGCGUGCCUAAUACAUGCAAGUCGAGCGAACGGACGAGAAGCUUGCUUUUCUGAUGUUAGCGGCGGACGGGUGAGUAACACGUGGAUAACCUACCUAUAAGACUGGGAUAACUUCGGGAAACCGGAGCUAAUACCGGAUAAUAUUUUGAACCGCAUGGUUCAAAAGUGAAAGACGGUUUUGCUGUCACUUAUAGAUGGAUCCGCGCUGCAUUAGCUAGUUGGUAAGGUAACGGCUUACCAAGGCAACGAUGCAUAGCCGACCUGAGAGGGUGAUCGGCCACACUGGAACUGAGACACGGUCCAGACUCCUACGGGAGGCAGCAGUAGGGAAUCUUCCGCAAUGGGCGAAAGCCUGACGGAGCAACGCCGCGUGAGUGAUGAAGGUCUUCGGAUCGUAAAACUCUGUUAUUAGGGAAGAACAAAUGUGUAAGUAACUAUGCACGUCUUGACGGUACCUAAUCAGAAAGCCACGGCUAACUACGUG